AAGAGAAAAAACAAAGUUUGGAAUUUGGUUGGCUUCAACUAGUGAUGAGAUAAUUGGAGAAGAUGAAGGAGGAAAGCACAUAAUAGAGAAAUGGUUGAGUUCUUUUUUUUUCUCUUUAAUUUCUCUUACGAAAAAAGAGAAGUCUUUUUAUGUGAAAGAUUUUGGCUUUGGCCCCCAACAACUUACAUAAACUCUCUUUCUCUCUCCUUUCUAUCUUGCUUUUCCAUCUCCCUCUUGUGUCUCCCUCUAAUUCUCAGCAGACAAGACCAUAAAAGACCAACAAUGGAGAGCUUGAAGCCAGCAAAGCAAUGGUCCAGUUUUGGGCUCCACACCACUAUGGUAAUAGAGAGAGAGGAAAUUAGAAAAAGAGAGAGAGAGAGAGAGAAGAUUCACAGCUUGGAGAGAGUCAAUGAAAUCAAGUUUUGUGGACUAUGGUAUUCAACAUCACCACAUAAGAUGAAAGGGAUCACACGUGGCAGCACAGGUUGCUUGCCACGAACGUUAUUAUUACCGGUGUUACGGUGUAUUCAUCUACAUCCACUAAGUUGCUACACGUGUUAAUUUCUGGAUAGUAGGAUGAAAUCUUCAUGCGUAUGGCGGUGGUCGUUAUUACAGGUUACUGUUAGAAACGGAGUAACAGCGUCAAACCUCGCUCGCUCCAUCGUUAAAACUCAAAGCCUGUUUUUGUUUGUCUAUGGAUUCGAUCAGGGGAAUUCGGAGAAAAGGGCCAAUAGCAUGCCUAGAAUGUUACAUUCUGAGGGUAUUUUCGUCACUAAGGAUGCGGGUGGAUGAUUUUUAGGUGGCUUGUUUGUUUAACAAUCUGUUGGGUAAAGCAAUUCAUGAAAUUCAGAGCCUUUUUCUAGCAAGAUGGAUUUUUUAAAUUGUCAAAUUUAGAAAGAUUUUUUUUUUCUCUACAUCAAUUCAUUUUGGAGGUUUAGACAAUGUGGACCGAUGCCAUGUAAUAGCCUGGAUGAGUUUAGUUGAGUUCUCUGCACAAAAAUGAGCAGAGUCAAUGAUUUCUUUAAAUGAGAUGAAUGUCUAACAUUGAUCGAAUACAGCUUAUAGUAGAGGAUAUAUUCAUAAUAAUUUUUCUGUUUUGUAAGGUAUAGCAUAUGCUUGUGAUGUCACAAAAGCAGAGCAUAAAGACUCAGAAAUUUCCAGCUUUAGUAAGCAAAAAGAAAUGAUUGCAAGGUUUGAUGUUUAACAUCUUGGCCCAGAGAGGAUGACGAAGAAACAUAAACUGUGACAUAGCAAACAUCCAAAUGAACAAUGACAAAAGCCAAAGAAAAUUAAGAAAUUGAAAGGAAAUUCAAACAAGUUUCAGUUGAUGGAAAAAGCAUUGUCAAUUCUCUUCUGGCAUGCCAAGACUAGGUAAACAAAUUUUACAGGUAAUUACAAGUCAAUAACCCAUGCAGUUAACUAAAACUAGACAUAAAAGGGGAUUAUUCUACAUAAAUAAAUGGCAAAGAUUAACAGUAUAAGGCCCAAGGAAGAAGAUUAUGGACAACAAGUUACAGAUGUUUCAACUCUUGGGACAAAGGUCGCAAGACAAGGAUCAACAGAAACAAGGAAAGGAAAUCCCACUUAAAACCCAGAAGAAAAAAUUAAAUCCCAAUUAAAAAUAUUAUGUCAUCAACCCUGAAGAAAAGCUGGCUUAAAAUCAAAACCAAGGCUAAUGCAAAGCUAGCCUGAGACCAGACAAGAGAAAUUCCUCGUAGCCACAUUGUCCUCCCUUUUUUCUCAUUAAACCCACAAAUUUCAAGCAGAAGAUAACUUCAAAGGCAAAUUAACAAUUUUUGCAGAACAAAAUAAACCCACCUAAAUAUUCUUCAAAACCAGGUUGGUGUAGAUUAAAAAGCAGCGAGAAUGUUGCAAAUAAAGAUAGAACACAAGUGAAGCUCAAAAUGUGUCAAGGGGGAAAAGGAAAAGUACCCACCGAUUGAUUUCCUCCAAACCAGAUUGCAAAUGAACCAUAUUAGCCUCUAGCAUUCUUGAGACAUCCUUCCCAGAAUCAUAAGCCCUAAUGAAAUGAUCCUCAAUAUCCUUCACGGCUUCUAAAAGCUCCCUUUCCUUUUCUGGGCUGUCAAUAACUGUAAGCCCCUUCUGCUCUCCUUGGCUCACAUGAGUCUCCUCCUUAACUUUAAUCAGACCACUUUCACUCUCUUCAUGCUCCCUGCAGCUAGUAUCUUUUUCUUCAACAAAGACAACUUUUUUCUCUUCCUCUUUGCUAUCUCCUACCUCUUCUAGAUCUGGUAUCCCUUCCUCUUCUCUCACCGCUCUUAAAUCAUCAUCAGAACACCUGUUAUACCCACUUAUAAUCUCUGGUCUAACAACAUCAAAUGGAUUAAAAAAGUCCCAACCGAAAUCUCUUUGUGGUGAUGGCAUUGGCGGUGGCAUUUGCAUAUAAAAGUACCCACAAGGUUGUUCUUCUUCUUCUCCUCUUUACCACCUCUUCUUUAGUGUCUUCCUCUGAAGUACCUGAGCUUGUUGAAGAAUAACAAGACUCGCAAGCAAUGGCUUCAUGGGUUGACUCUGAAGGUGUUUGUUGGAGGAACAUUGUGUUGGUUAUCACAUUUUGAUCUGUAGCUGGCGGUGUAGGUGGAGGAAAGGUGAAGAAGGUGAAGAAUGGCGAGCUACAAAGAGCUUAAUAGCAGCUGCCACUGCAUAAAGAGCUUGACAGUACCUACAAUGUGCUUCUGCAGGUGCAUAUCUUCUAUCUCUGCUAGCUUUAUAAGGCGUUUUCUUUCUCUACAGAUUGACACAACUUCUUCUUGUUCCUCUAGUCUAGAAGCAACACUGCCCAUCUCCCUUGCUAAAGCCUGGAGGUGUUUUUCUGGUUUCAACAGGCCUAGAAGCUACUACUUUUGAAUAAAUGGGGACAGUGUAAAGUAAAGAAAGGUGAUCCUUGGAAGGAAUCAAUAAGUAUUAUUUUCUGAUAAAACGGAGGUGGGGUUGUAACAAAAUGGAAGAAUGAGUUAGAUUUUACAAAGGUUUGAGAGAAUCAAAGAAGGAAAAUGUAGCUUUUGGGGAAUUUUUAGAAUAAGCCACUUCAUCUUUUGAUAAGAAAAAAAAAGUUGGUUUCCUUCCUGAAACGUAGCUCCUGCAAAAGUUUUAUAUUUUCCCAUUUCAUCUCUUGGCACCAUGCACCCACAUACGAAAAGAAUCCUACAGAGGUGGUUCCUCCUUGUAUUUUCUUUUUACCUUUAUUCCUUGAGAGGGGAAAAAAUUCUUUUCCUAUGCUGAAAUGUUGAUAAUUAUCCGUUAAAACACUCUAAUUAGUUUGAGAUUAGUAGACAAACUAAAUAUCAUGAAGAGUGAAAGAGUAAGUAGAGCAGUAGAUGACAGAGUAAAGGCCAGGAAAGAGACUAGAUGGUAAGGUAAAGAAGGUAGGGGCUCGAGAAGGAGAGAGAAGGGACAGCUCUAGUGUUUGGUAUUUUUACACUAUAAAAUUGGUGUGCAACAAUGGCAAGCACCCACUAUAUCAUUUUUAGUGCAAUAAAAAGAUUAAAAAAAUAUUUCUGCCAAAUUUAGCGCAGAUUUUUGAAGCAGACAUAUGUCCAUUGGGCAGUCUUGUGAGUAAAAAGAGGAGUCAAAUGUACUAUAGUUAAUUAGUAGUAAAAGGAUAGCGACCAGACCACUGCCAAAACCACACAGAGAGAGAGAGUUCUGUCUUUUCCUUAGGUAUCCCUGUUUUUUUUAACUGCUCCUUCCUCCCUUGCAAUCCUCUCUAGUCUCUAAUAAUGGGAGUAUAAUUGUGUUACCUACCACAUGUUUAAGGCCUUUAAUGAAUUGUUAAGUGGAGGAAUUUACAAAAGCAGAAGGUUUAAGCUUGUCUGUCAGUGUCAUUUACUGCUACAUGGACAAAUCUGUUCCUUUGAAAGUUUUAGGCUGGCUCUCUCUCUCUCUCUCUCAAAACUGGGAUUUUGGCAAUAGCACUAUAUUUUGCAAGGAUUUAGAGUUCUGGGUGGUGUGGUAUGGAAAAGAAGGUUCCUGUUUGGUCCAUAAAUGAAUAAUGUGAUGCCAGAACUACUGACAAUUCCACAUGAACUUGCAGGUUUUUUUUUUGGAAGUCAUUCAGUAAGAUUUCAUUAAAGAAGAAAGGGGGAGAGAAGUUCCCCAAUUCAGAAACAGACCUUGGUUGCAGGACAAAACCACAGAUAUUGGAAGAUAUGCUCACUAACUACCAGGUAUAACCCCCAAUAUCCCAUGGCCCGAACAGCCCUGUCAGGCAUCAGUCCCUCCAGAACGAAGAACAGACACCAGGAGAACCCAAAAUCCUCCCAAAAAACCUCACUCCCGCAACAACAGAAAACAUGCAGGAGAAAGAACAAGACCCCAAAAUCAUGUACAAAAACCACCCAACAACAAGUAUCCCCUACAAAGCACCCAGGGGUUGAGCUAAAGACCUAUCUAAAUUCCAUAAGCCUGUACACAUAUGAAUUCCUAAGAACAUAAAAACGUAUCAACCUUUGAAACCUAACUGACCAUCGGUCCAGGAAGACCUCCCUGCAUCAAGACUCAUCUUCAAACAAUAGUUCUGACAGUUCAGCUUUAGCAAACAAUCACACAACAUCAGAAAGACCACAACUCGCCUUAAACAGAAAAAAAAAAGAGAUCAACAGCUUACGUGAAGAUUCUCAAGAUGUCAAACUGAAGGUGAGCACCCUCCUUUGCUAAAGCAUCAGCUCUCUGGUUUGCCUCUCUCUGGCAUGUUGAAUCUCCCAUCCCUCCAAUCCUUCUUUCAAACUCUCCAAUUGUAGAACCACUUUUCUCAUUCUCCACGGAGCCGUAUCGGGAUGAGUCGUCCACUUUACCGUAUUGCCCGAAUUGCUCUCCAUGAGGAGUUUAUAAUUAUCCUUCCAUCUUGAAGCUGAGAAAAUCGUAAACGCUUCCCUCACUGCCAUCAUCUCGGCCCAAUUAGAGUCCGCCUCACCUAUAGCUUUGGAGAAGAUGAUUUUGACUUCCCCUUUAUGAUUCCUCAAGAUCUCUCCGAUACCAGCAGGCCCCGGACAUCCUCUAGCUGUUCCAUCGACGUUGGAUUUCAAUUGCCCCUACAAGUUUUUUUCCCCAUUAAAUUCCCUUCCUUUCCUUACCCUUCUUUGCCUCCUGGCCUUGAGUUGGGGGCUGUCUAUACACAUCAAGCACUGUCGGAUAUUCCCUUGGCCAUUCAGCGUACGCCCAAAAAGCCACCCUAAUCCUAGCCAACUCCAAGACAUGAUCCAUGUUCCAUUCUUUGCCUUGACACACAGUUUCAUUUCUACUUUUCCAAAUAGACCACACAACUGCAAAGAAUCCCAUUCUCCAAAGUGUGACAUCUAACUCUCCCCACUGCCACUUGUUCCACACAACAAACAGGUCCUUUACAUUUGCCGGGAAUACCCACAUCGUGCCCCAUAUCCUGCACCAUCCUGCCCAAAUUUUCCAUGAUUCAUUACAAGUUGCAAAAAAAUGAUCACAAGUUUCCCUAUCAGCAUUACACAAAACACAUUGCAAACUAUUGUUCAAGUUCACUCCCCUUUUAACAAGUUCAUCCAUAACUCUUAUUUUCCCUUGUAGCAUUUGCCACACAAAAACCUCAACUCUAAAAAGUGCUAGGUUAGCCCACACUAUGAACUUGCAGGUUAUAAUUAACCUGAAUCAUGCAAGGUGCCAUCAGAUUCAUUUUACUUUCAAAAAAAACGUCCUGAUAGAUAUGUUACACAUCAUCUGGGUUAAUUAAGUUAAACUAUGGAUUACCAAUAAGAUUCAAAUUUGAUAUUAGUAGCCAUCCAAACCAUAAAACUGGCAUAUUUAUCAAGUAUUGGAAACUGAAUUAAGUUUCUUCUUCUAUACUCAUAUUCAAAUGAUGCAUUUAAGAAAUUAUACACCAUGAUUGAUUCUAACAGGAUUUCAGAUGAUUAAACUUUCAAACGAAUAGGAAAAGAAAGAAGGAAAGAAAGUACAGAAGAAGACGGUGCUGAAAUUACUGCUGAAACUCUUUCAAGUCAAAGUAUUGUUAAGCACAAUCCCAACACCAAAACUCUUUAUAACUAAUUUUGUCACUCACUGCAAUGCCUUUGGCUUUGUUUUCCUCUUGUCUAGUCCUGUUCCGCUCAGAGUUCAUUGUUCAGGUUUAAGUUGUUUCGUACUUCAUCUAAACCAUUUUCUCUCUCUUUUUUUUUUUAACAUCCUGAAUUUUAUAUUUUAUUUUUAUAUCACAAACCUUUUACUUCCUAAAUAAAAAUAUUUCUUCAUCAUAUCUUUUGAAAAGCUUCAUUUCUUUCAUUUAAUCAGGCUAACAAACUGAACUUACAUGGAUUUACAAGCAAAAAAGAGUUGAAAAAAAUCGAUUUUCUUAUGCUAGUCAUGUCAAUCUCAACUUUCUUGAGUAAGAUUGAAAGUAUUAUAUCUGAGUUAACAUGACACCAAGGCUGGGCCAGUGGUCGAAGAGCUUUGUGUUCAUGGUCCAUUGGUGGUUUGCUUUAUUUAUUACUUGCUCAAGAUCCUGUAAUGACUAAUGAGCUUAAUGGCUUGGAAAUUGGUGCCACAGGCCUUAGGGUUGGAGAAGUUAAAUGAAUAACACAGGAAGGGCAAUUUAGGUGAGGCAAGGGCUAACACAAAUACGCAAGUUAGGAUUUAUGCUUUGUGGGUUUUGUGAGGAUGUGCCCUGACACAAUCUGACAACAUAGGGAGGGAUAAGGCCCCUUUUCUCACCUAGGAAUUCCCUACUUCCUCCACUUUGAAUAACCAAGUUUGGUUUGCCCCAAAAAUAUGUGUUAUUCACUUUGAAUAGAACAAGAAUCAAGAGUUGGAUGGCAAGAAAUGAAAUAAGUCAAUAAAUAACAACUGUGCUUUCUGUGUUGCAGGGAGUGGAAGAGUUGCCUUUUUUUUUAAUCUUCGUUUUCCCUUCUUUAACCAUUUGGACUUGAGGACAGAAUAAGAAUAUGAGAGAGUUAAAAAUCUUGGGACAACCUCAACCUGACUGCAAAUGUCCUGUACUACUAUUGAACAACCACUACGUUGUUGGACAUGGAUGGUUGGGCUUACUCUCCAAUUUCCACCAGACAGGUGGACGACCUGAACAGACAAUAAUCCCUGCUAGAUUCUGGAUUAGGAAACCUGAAAUAUGGAGUUGUUCCAGACUAGUUUCAUUCCGGGUGAUGUAAUGACCUCCACCACCACACCCAAUCUGACAUCAAUAUAGAAUUCCAACACUGUUAACAGUUGUGAAGCAGGUAUGCCAGGUUUCUACAGAAUCUUGAUGGAAGCUUGAGAAGCCUAACAUUCAAUUUAUUUAGUAGUACUUGAAAAGUAUCCUUCCUUAGAGGUACAAGAUGGGCUGUUUGUUUCCUUUAUGCAAUGAAUUUUCCUGGUUACCUCCAAAAGAUUUUGAUAUGGAUACAGCAAUUCUUUUCUAAAUGCACAAGGAACAAUUUCCAGAGUCCUGUUUCCCAGAAUUAAAGAAGACUAUCAGAGAAAUGGAUAAACGAAAAGGUUACACGAUAAAAACAUAAGGGGAGGAAAAGAUCAACCAAGUAGACUAGGGGCCGGGGGAUUUCACCAAUGUUUGAUAUGUCGGCCAUUUGUCUUACUAGAGCCCGGCACGAGAUAAUUCCACAUUGAACACCAAUUGCACCAUUACCUCGCUACGGACAUAUAAUCACCAUGAAAUAAUUGCUUCCAACACUGUUGUCCAUUUGCCCCUUUACACAACCGAAACUGUCCGCCACGUUAGAAUCAGUAAAGAUGUUAAUAUGUUGGUAUUAUGUGAGAGUGAAAAGCAAACAGGAAUGUGAAAUAUAUUCUGCACAUUGUGGGAUUCACAACAUCAAAGAGACAAAUGCACCAACUGAAGAACAAAAGGAGACUAUUAUAUAAAGACUAAGAAAACUAUCCCAGGAAAUCUAUAACAUACUUAAAAGGAAGCCCCAAAGGGGCUUCCUCUUCUAGCCACGUGGAGGGCAUAGGAAAAAAGAGAAAAAAAAAAGAAAAAAUAAGGUAGGAAGAGAAAGGAAAAAACAGAUAGAAAGAAGCCCGUGUGCAACGCACAGGCUAUAAUCUAGUAAACUAUAAUAGUCGUCACCUCGUACUCUUCUCUAGUUCUGUUUAGGGGUUUUUUUCUCUGGCACAGAGGCUAAAUGCAGGUAUUAGUUUCCAGUUAAAAGUUACAGUGUACAUUAAAGAAUUGAAGGCUUGCUCCUCUUCUCGCUUUCGGAAGCUACCUCGUAUUCACAUAAGAGAAUGAUACAACAAAGCAAAACAUGCGAUACGACGUGAUCAGGUACUGCCAGCUUCUGUUGGCGUGGUACAAGGAGCCAGUAUAUUAGGAGGCAAGUUAACUCCUCCCCCUCUAACAGAUAGAUUAGGAGCCUUAACUGAGCUAGCCCUGCUCACCUGGUUUGAGUCAAGAAACACCACAAUUACUGUAAUGUCAUCAUGGAAAUGCCGCCGGACACCACGAUCAAUCUUCUUCAAGUCAGAAUACCUCAUUUCUCUCUUCUUUGCUGCUUCUUGUAGAGCAGUUUUUACAAGCCUCCUUGCAAUUCCCUGCAUGAAGUCCACAACAAAAUGUUAAUUUUCUCCUCUUUUAGAACCCUGUUUUAAGAUUAACUUCACAUCAUCAAUAAAAUGCAAAUGCAACAAUAUAUCUAUAAAUGAAUUUAUAACUCAAAAUCAUACAAGGAAAAUGAAAUAAACAAAUAUUACAUGACAAACAGAACCUUGUUCCUGCCCCCUCUACACAACUACAAAUGCAUGAGCAUGCGUGUGUGUGCUACAUGUGUGUGAGUAAAUUGUCCCAUGUGUAUGCAUGCAGUAAAAACCACUCAAAAGAAAAGGCACACUGUUCAUAACAGAGCAUAUUGCCUUUCAUAAUUGGUCUAGAUUGAAUAAAAUGUGAACUAGAAAGUCGUGUUCAUACUGGUUGACUUGUUCUAGUUGAGCUAUUUGGCUUAUGAAUUAAAGUGGUAAUUGUCAAGCAGCAGUAAUAGGAUGGAAAAUUGAACAAGCAGUCAUGGCACUUCAAGUUAUACGCCAUAGCUCACACAACAAAAGGAAAGGUUCCCAAGAUAACUAAUUAAAGCUUCAUUAAAAACUAGAACUCCAAAAUCUAUUAUCGGUGACCAACAAGAAAAGCUUUCAUACUCUAACCAAAUGAAAAUGUCAGCAGCAUAGGAGAAAAGAAUACUGUUCAUAAUAAGAUUAACAAUAUUUGACAUUCAGGCAUAAACUUACACUUCGUGGGUGAUUUUGAACUAUAUCAACAGCUUCUUGAUUGCUUAGGUGCUCCCAGAGCCCAUCAGAUGCAAAUAUCACGAAUUGAUCAUGUGGCUGCAGCUGGUGCACUGAUAUCGAUGGGUCCGCACUCAAUAUUGGCUUUUUGAAAGGUUCCCGAAGCCGAAAUUUGGGAUAUAAAGGCUCCCUGUUGAACUCAGCUUUUUUUAAAUAUACAUCACCGAUAGAUCUAGAAACCUGAAAGGCCAAGAAUUCCAUUAAUAAACUCUCACAAAGAGUAAGAGGCAGCAGAACAAACCAUGGAAAACCAUAGCAAGGAAAUUAUAAUCUUGCACUGCUGGACAAAUUGCAUGCACUUGUUAAAUGUACUAAACCUCUCUAUCUCUCAUUUGGGGGAACAAGGGGUUGUUUUUAGUAAUCUUAUCACAGAUAGAAUUAAGACACUGCACACAUUCUGGUCUAGUUCAAGGUUUGACAAAAAGUAUAGCAGUUGUAGCAGGAAAUUUGCACAGAAAGGAGAAUUGCCCAUUGCAGCAAUAGAAUCUCUUCACAUAUGAAAUCCAAGAAAUAGUCAUGCUUCUAGGUUCACAAUAUUUUUGAGAAGCUUUACAAUAUUUAUAAGGAUUCUGAUUGACAAAUGAGCACUUGCUGGGAAGUUUCUCAACCAAUUGACUAAGCAUCAGAAACCAGUUUAAACCAUCACUCAGAAUUUUUACUUAUAAUUCAUUCUCUCUUUAAAACCUGGCAAUCAUAUAACUGUAAAACACGGGGUAAUUAAAACCUAGCACGUCAGGAUAUUUCCUUUCGCCAAUCCUCUUUGGAAACAAAGCUCAUAUACCUGUACAGAGCUGAAAAGUCGUACAGCUAAAGUGAUUCCCUAAUAAAGCCUAAAGUACAAAAGUAACCAACUCCAGGAUCACCACUAAGCUUAUUAGUUCCAGACCUGGAAUAUAUGGAUAAGUGUUAUCCAUGGAUGACCAUCAAAUCACUUUCUUGCAAGAGAUCAACAUACAAUCCAACAAAAUUUUUAGAUUCCAUCAUUUUAUGCAACAGUAAAUUAUGCUAUUUUAUCCCUUUCCAUCAACUUUGAUAAUUACUAAGUUCUCUCAUAGUCAAAGAUUUUUCUUAUUUCCCUUUCUCUUUUGGCUUUGCAGAUACAUCCAUGCAUCCAACUGAAUAAUCGGCAUCCUUCCCCUCCUCAGCUCCACACUAUCUUUACCACAUGGGAGGAGAAGAUACCAUGCAGCUGAUAUAUCUAUUUCUUUCUAACAAAUUAAACCCCUUUUUUCUCCGGAAAACUGUCCUUGGAAAUGUAACCAUAUAAAUACAUCUUCACUCCAAAAACAUUAAAGACCUGUUUUCAGUUUUCACUUUUCAAAAAGUAAGCACAAGUGGAUAAAACAUUGCCCCAGGUUCAUGCCUUACUUUAAGAGUUUAUUACAAAUCAAGCUAGCUAAAACAAACUUUCAAAUAUUCAGAAUUCAUAAACAGCAUGCUCUAUAGUGCUCAACUUGGACAAGAACUGGUUCAAGCUCUCUAUGCGUCUUGCAGCACAGAUGAAUAAAAUUAGUACUUGCUCCUUUUUUGCAAAUGGCUAUUCUUGUAAACAAAGGUGAUUUAAGCCACAAGUAGAAGCAAGUUUCAAUGUCACCGCUACGCAAAAGCAUCAAUGUUUAAAAAUGGCGACAUUAAUUAGUCAUCUUAGCAGUUAAGUAACUAUUAAAAUUAAAAAUUGUUUGCAUAGUGAAACUUACCUGUAUGAGACCUUUUACACGCCAUACAUUGUACUUCAAAACUACAAUUUGUGGGUCAUCAGGGUGCAAUGACUGCAGCUCCUGCCUUACAGACUCUAUGCAGACAUUAUGCUCAGCCGACAGCUGAACAGCUAGUACCUCUCCUGUUGCCUUCACAGCUCUCCCCAAAACAGCACGCGAAUCACCAAGGUUGGCAACAUAAAGGGUUCCACCACAGAUAACACCAACCAGGCAGCAGGAUCCAACAGCAGCAAUUUGUGGUUUCAUAGGCCACUGUUUGGAAACGAGAGACAAGAAACCUUCUUCUGUUGCUUGAUAUGCUUUUCGUAUCACGUCAACUGACAUUGUCUGUUGCUCUGAAGUGAACCCUGAACAUAGAGAAUAUUUCAGAAUAACAAACACCACCGAUGGCAAAGUGCAUGAAGGAAAGAGAGAACAAGUAGAGAUAACUCUUAUGUUUGCAAUUUUAUUUCUUUCUUUUAGUAUUAUAUACCAGGCUCUACAGCUACCAAUCGGAAUUGACACACAAAACAACAAAAGUGAUAACAAGGAACUGAUAACUUUUUGGACUCAAAACAACAAACCCUUAACUGCGGCUGCAGCAAGUUCACUACACUAAUUAGUUUUAAACAAUUAAUUAUAUCCAAAACAAUUGCUUAUUUAAUACUUCUUUCCUCUACUUCCUUAAUCAGUAAAUAGACGGCAACAAAAACUAAACCCUAGCAAAGGCAAAAGUACUUACUCUUGAGAUGUUGAAAGAGAUGAUCAUUGACGUAGCGCGAAGUCUCUGGGCCCCCAUGCCCAUCAUAAACGCCAAUAAAAGUACCAUAGGGACCUGACUCAUGUGAACUCAAACAACCGGACUCAAGCUGGCUCUGGUCCUCGAGUAAAUUGUUGGCCUGAACCACUGCCAUUGAGAACUCACCAUUAAAGUGCUGCCCUGUGUCCUUGUACCACAAAAGCCCAUCUUGGCGACCUCCAGCAUCCGAACUUGUGUGAACGUAUCGAUCUGACCUUGGCCGAAAACAGGCCCUCAAAAAGUUCAUCAACCCAGAUAACAUCCCUCAUCUCAUCCAAAAACCCCUCCUAAUUCUCCACAUCUAAAUAACCACUGAAUAUAAACUAUACCCUAGAAGUCUGAACAGUGAACCGUAUCCUCUGCUUCUCAACACAAUAAUUGUACACUACACCAACAUCAGCAACAAAGCACACCAAAAGGUUAGCAAUAGUGCAAUUUGCGAUAAAGGCUCAAAAGCAACUAAACCAAGAAAACGACAACUACAAAUUAUAUCUUCCACUACUCCUCAAGGGGCCAUUAACAGCAUCAAUCAGAAAGUACAAUAAAUUUGAUAAAUAUAUAAUGAAUAACUAGCAGAUCAAAUAAAUGAUGUACUAGAAACCACCUCUCUCAGUUUGUUUUAGUUAUUAAGAUUAAGCUCAAACAACGGAAACUGCUCCCUCUUUAAACAAGAAAGCCAUGACCAUAACAGCUCCUUAUGCUGAAAAAAUCAACAAAACACAAAGGAGGGGUUUUUGAAAACGACGGAAUUGGUCAAAGCUCACUUUUUCUUUCUUUUUUUCUAACAAAGUAGUCGGUCAGCCAUUAGGAAAUCCAGAAGGUCUAAUGUUUCACAUUGAGAACUUUAAACAGCCCAGUUUCAGACAUCCCUUUAGACCCAAUAAGCAUCAUAAUUCAACUUGUAUUUCCCACACUAAAUAUUAAAAAAAGAAGAAGAAGAAGAAGCUGACCUUUCUAUUUGACCCCUUUGGUUUAUAAUUGAAAAGGAGGAUCUGGAAAUAGGAAAGGAAAAAACUUCAUCUGGGCAUGAAAUUGGAAUUAGCAGAUCUAUGGAUCAAUCAAAUCAAAGCAAGAGAAAAAACAAAGUUUGGAAUUUGGUUGGCUUCAACUAGUGAUGAGAAAAUUGAAGAAGAUGAAGGAGGAAAGCAUAUAAUAGAGAAAUGGAUGAGUUUUUUUUUUUCUUUUUUCUUCAACAAAAGGAGAAGUCUUUUUAUGUGAAAGAUUUUGGCUUUGGCCCCAACAACUUAUAAAAACUCUCUUUCUCUCUCCUUUCCAUCUUGCUUUUCUAUCUCUCUUGUUU
This 13066-nucleotide long non-coding RNA is filed under the name Theobroma cacao (cacao). RNAcentral describes it as "long non-coding RNA (TCAC_LNC000712)". Lineage: Eukaryota; Viridiplantae; Streptophyta; Magnoliopsida; Malvales; Malvaceae. The record is from RNAcentral.